Molecule: RNA transcript, 4311 nt
Organism: Columba livia (rock pigeon)
Lineage: Eukaryota; Metazoa; Chordata; Aves; Columbiformes; Columbidae
Gene: FANCI
Gene name: FA complementation group I
Exons: 37
Source: RefSeq, a predicted model, not a curated record
GCCCGGGUGACGGGCGGGCGCUUCCGGGCGGGAAUUUCGGGGUGACGGAGCUGAGGGCAGCCGCGUUCCGGGCGGCUCUGCGGCACCAUGGCCCAGCGCAUCCUGGAGCUGGCGGCCGAGGAGGCCCCGGAGCGACUCCAGGAGGCCCUGCAGAGCCUGGGGGAGAGCGAGCUGGGCGACAUGGUGACAAGGCAGGCCCUGAAGGGGAGGGAGACGGCAGCUUUGCUAAGAGGCAUCUUCAAAGGCUCCCCUUGUGCCCAGAGAAGUGGUGUUCUCAGGAGGCUUCAGGUGUACAAGCACUGCAUCCUGCUAGUGGAGUCAGGGGACCUGAAUUUGGGCAAGGUGUCUGAGAUCAUAGGACUGCUGAUGCUGGAGGCUCGCCAGCUGCCAGGCCACGCAUUGGCUGAACUUGCCACCCUGUUCGUUGAUGUUGUUAAAGGCAGCAGCCUGUCUAAUGGGAAAUCCUUGGAGUUGUUUUCCACUGUUCUCACUGCACUGGCCAGUCUGAAGGAGAACCUGGCUUAUGGAAAAGGUGAACUGAAUGGGGAAGAGUUUAAGAAACAACUGAUAAACACCCUCUGCUCAAGCAAGUGGGAUCCUCAGAGUGUAAUACAUCUUGCCAACAUGUUCAGGGAUAUUCCACUAUCGGGAGAGGAGCUGCAGUUUGUGGUGGAAAAGGUCCUUAGGAUGUUCUCCAAAUUAGACCUGCAGGAAAUUCCCCCUCUGGUCUAUCAGCUGCUGCUGCUUUCUGCAAAGGGCAGUAAGAAGACUGUUUUAGAAGGAAUAAUCAGUUUUUUCAAUGAGUUGGAUAAGAGACAGAAGGAAGAACAGAGGGUUCCACAAUCAGUGGACCUUAAGGUAGCCACAAUGCCCCUAGACCAGCUCCGCCAUGUGGAAGGUACCGUUAUUCUCCAUAUCGUUUCUGUUAUCAACCUGGAUCAGGACCUAGGCAAGGAACUAAUCAGACUUCUAAAGGCUGAGCAACAAAAGGACCCUGGCAGAGCCCUGUGUCCCUUCAGUGUGGCUCUUUUGCUGUCGGUUGCAGUAAAACACAGACUGCAAGAGCAGAUAUUUGAUUUAUUGAAAACAUCAAUCACAAGAAGCUGCAAGGACCUGCAGUUCCUUCAGGCCUCCAAGUUCCUGCAAGAUUUGUUUCCUCAACAGUAUGAUGUAACUGCUGUAAUUCUGGAAGUGGUAAAAAAUAGUGCAUUUGGCUGGGACCACGUUACUCAGGGCCUGGUGGAUCUUGGCUUCAGCCUAAUGGAAUCAUAUGAACCAAAAAAGCCCUUUGGAGGAAAAACUGCUGAUACCAGUUCUGGCCUUUCAAAAAUGCCAGCCCAGCAGGCUUGCAGACUGGGAGCGAGUAUCCUGCUGGAAACAUUUAAGGUUCACGACCCCAUCAGAAGUGAUAUUCUUGAGCAGGUCCUGAAUAGAGUCCUUACAAAAGCAGCGUCUCCUGUCAGCCACUUCAUAGACUUGCUGUCCAAUAUUGUUGUGUCUGCUCCUCUUGUGCUUCAGACUUCAUCCUCCAAAGUCACAGAGACCUUUGACAAUUUAUCCUUUCUGCCCAUUGACACAGUGCAAGGGCUCCUCCGGGCAGUACAGCCUCUGCUCAAAGUCAGCAUGUCAGCGAGGGACUCCCUGAUACUUGUUCUCCAAAAAGCUAUAUUUUCCAGGCAGCUUGAUGCUCGUAAAGCUGCAGUUGCUGGCUUCUUGCUUCUGUUAAGAAAUUUUAAGAUUCUGGGCAGCUUGUCCUCUUCCCAGUGCAGCCAGGCCAUUGGUGCCACUCAGGUCCAGGCAGAUGUUCAUGCCUGCUAUAAUUCUGCAGCUAAUGAGGCCUUCUGCCUGGAAAUCCUGGGCAGCCUGAGGCGAUGUUUGAGCCAGCAAGCGGAUGUUCGACUCAUGUUAUAUGAGGGUUUUUAUGAUGUCCUUCGCAGGAACUCCCAGCUGGCCAGCUCUAUAAUGGAAAUGCUCUUGUCCCAGAUAAAGCAAUAUUACUUGCCCCAGCCAGACCUCCUGCCUCCAUUGAAACUUGAAGGAUGUAUUAUGGCUCAAGGAGAUCAAAUCUUUCUGCAAGAACCAUUGGCCCAUCUGCUCUGCUGUAUCCAGCACUGUCUUGCCUGGUAUAAGAGCACUGUGCGUCUGUGCCAACGAGCUGAAGAUGACGAUGAGGAGGAGGAUGUGGGAUUUGAGCAAAACUUUGAAGACAUGCUAGAAUCUGUCACACGGCGAAUGAUCAAGAGUGAGCUGGAAGACUUUGAACUGGAUAAGUCAGCAGAUUUUUCUCUGUCUUCUGGUGUUGGUGUAAAGAAUAACAUCUAUGCCAUCCAGGUGAUGGGAAUUUGUGAGGUCCUGAUUGAGUACAAUUUCAACAUAGGGAAUUUCAGUAAGAACAAGUUUGAGGAUGUCCUAGGCUUGUUUACAUGUUACAACAAACUCUCUGAAAUCCUGAAGGAGAAAGCUGGAAAGAACAAAUCUACCUUGGGCAACAAAACUGCACGGAGCUUCCUGUCCAUGGGUUUUGUAUCUACUCUGCUCACAGCUCUGUUCAGGGACAAUGCCCAAAGCCACGAGGAGAGCCUGGCAGUUCUGCGCUCCAGCACAGAGUUCCUGCGCUAUGCUGUCAGUGUAGCUCUGCAGAAAGUGCAGCAGCUGGAGGAGACAGGACAAACUGAUGGACCAGAUGGACAAAAUCCUGAGAAGAUGUUUCAGAACCUCUGCAAAAUCACACGGGUUCUGCUUUGGAGGUACACAUCAGUUCCCACUGUUGUUGAAGAGUCGGGGAAGAAGAAGGGCAAAAGCAUUUCGCUCCUGUGCUUGGAAGGUUUGCUGCGGAUCUUCAACACGGUGCAGCAGCUCUAUGCUGCCAGGAUCCCCCAGUUUCUACAAGCCCUGGAUAUUACUGAUGGUGACGCAGAAGAAACGGAUAUUAAUGUCACAGAGAAAGCUGCCUUCCAGAUCCGACAGUUUCAGAGGUCUCUGGUGAACCAGUUCAGCAGUGCUGAAGAUGACUUCAACUCCAAGGAAACACAGUCACUCAUCACAGUUCUCUCCACUUUGUCCAAACAUCUCGAUCCAGCCUCUCAGCAGUUCCUUCAAUUCCUGACUUGGACAGUGAAAAUUUGCAAAGAAAAUGCUCUUGAGGAUGUCUCUUGCUGCAAAGGUUUGCUGUCUCUGCUCUUCAGUCUCCAUGUUCUGUACAAGAGCCCUGUCGGUCUGCUGCGUGAGCUCGCACAAGACAUCCAUGCUUGCCUGGGAGACAUAGAUCAGGAUAUGGAGGUGGAGAGUCGAUCCCAUUUUGCCAUAGUGAAUGCCAAGACUGCAGCCCCUACUGUCUGUCUGCUGGUUCUGGCUCAGGCGGAUAAGGUCCUUGAAGAAGUGGAUUGGCUUAUCAAGAAACUCACCAGUCUGGGAUCAGACGCAUCAGAAGACUCUUCUCAGGCAUCAAACCAAAGCCAGGCUCUGGAGAAAGGUGUAAUUCUGCAGCUGGGAACUCUGCUGACAGUUUAUCAUGAGCUGGUACAGACAGCACUCCCUGCGGGGAGCUGUGUGGACACGCUGCUGCGAAGCCUCAGCAAGACAUACGCAAUUCUCACCUCCCUCGUCAAACAUUAUAUCCAAGCUUGCCGCAGCACAUCGAAUACAAUUCCAGGAAGGCUAGAAAAGCUGGUGAAGCUCUCGGGUUCCCAUUUGACUCCACAGUGUUACUCAUUCAUUACGUAUGUACAGCUUGUAAUGCUGUCAGCUGGCCAGAGCCUUACUUGGCUGGCCUUUCUUCCCUGCUGACCCUCUAAUGCCACAUGUUUUGGCAUCCUCCUUCAGAACAUCCACAGUGAGAGCUUAAGCUUUGCAGAAGAGAAGAAAAAGAAGAAGAAAGAGGGUGAAGCUGCUGCGGUCUCCACAGCCAUGGCUAAGGUGCUUCGGGAGACUAAGCCAAUCCCAAAUCUGAUUUUUGCAAUAGAGCAAUAUGAGAAGUUCCUUAUCCAUCUCUCCAAGAAAUCAAAGGUGAACUUGAUGCAAUACAUGAAGCUAAGCACCUCCCGGGACUUCCGCAUCAACGUGUCCAUGCUAGACAGCACCUUGCAGGAGCACAACACAGAGGAUGCUGAAAACGAGCCAGACAAUGACCAGAGCUGCACAGCAGAGCAGACAGAUGAGAACCAGGAACCCAAGAAGAAGAAACGGCGAAAAAAAUAAAGCUGCUGCUCCCUCCUCCCAGUGCCUGUUCUGUGGCGGCCUCACCUUGACUUUGGAGAUGGUUUGUUGUUUCUCUUGCCAAAUAAACACUUAUGACUUCUUCCUUUGUGCCCA